UUGAAUACUGAAUCGGUUCUGAUGCUGGCUCUUCACUGGGCAUGUGCUCGUCCGUUCAUAUUUACCUUCUCUUGUGCACAUUUUGUAGUCUUGAACGUACCUCUCGCAGUCAAAUGCGGUUUGGGAGCUUGGGCGCAAGCCCUUCUCCUGCUUCUUCAAGGCUAUGUUUUCAUAUACACUAUAAAGUUACAGAAUGUCUUUUAACGAUUGCGCUUGUCGUAGUCAUUAAACCUAUA
Molecule: unclassified non-coding RNA, 236 nt
Filed under: uncultured Mycena
Lineage: Eukaryota; Fungi; Basidiomycota; Agaricomycetes; Agaricales; Tricholomataceae
Description: sequence contains ITS1
Source: RNAcentral